Molecule: ribosomal RNA, 435 nt
Filed under: uncultured bacterium
Lineage: Bacteria
Description: partial 16S ribosomal RNA
Rfam family: Bacterial small subunit ribosomal RNA
Source: RNAcentral
AGCGAACGCUGGCGGCAGGCUUAACACAUGCAAGUCGAGCGGGCAUCUUCGGAUGUCAGCGGCAGACGGGUGAGUAACACGUGGGAACGUACCCUUCGGUUCGGAACAACUCUGGGAAACUGGAGCUAAUACCGGAUACGCCCUUAUGGGGAAAGGUUUACUGCCGAAGGAUCGGCCCGCGUCUGAUUAGCUAGUUGGUGGGGUAACGGCCUACCAAGGCGACGAUCAGUAGCUGGUCUGAGAGGAUGAUCAGCCACACUGGGACUGAGACACGGCCCAGACUCCUACGGGAGGCAGCAGUGUGGAAUAUUGGACAAUGGGCGCAAGCCUGAUCCAGCCAUGCCGCGUGAGUGAUGAAGGCCUUAGGGUUGUAAAGCUCUUUUGUCCGGGACGAUAAUGACGGUACCGGAAGAAUAAGCCCCGGCUAACUUCGCG